UGCAAAUUCAUCAACCAACUCUUUUUCAAGCCUUUUCUCUAGUCUGAACUUUUAUCCUUUUUUAUCCUUUUUCGUUUAAUUUAAUGUAUAAACAUAAAGUCCCUUUCACAGACAUUAAGGAAGUUGUACUCUCAAAAGUUAUGUCUUGGGUUUUAGGAUUUAACCUUCCAUGCAAGGUUCCCAUGGAGUCCUACAAAUCUCAGCCUUCCAUUCUUUGUUUCUUGGUGAUAUCAAAGCACAAAGGGAAACAUCAGAUUCUAAGAAACUCCAAGUUUCAACCGCUGGGGAAAGAUCUUAGAUUGUAAAACACAGACAAAAAUAGGAACAUGGUCUUCUGCAACAGUAGCAUUGAACCAGGACUUAUAGUCCCUUCUACUCUUACUCCUGGUCUUGGAUCCUGGAAACCCGGGAUUCUAGGCAUUCUGAUGAGGAUAAUCUUACCCAUGUGGAGGGUAACUGGCGGUCAUUAUUAAAACUUAAACCACAGCCACCAUCUAAACUGACUUGAAGGCUAUUUCGGCAACACAAUCUUUCAUCGGAUUAUCAAAGGCUUCCUCGUCCAAGGAGGUGACCCCACGGGUUCCGACACUGAUUAAGUACCAUGAAACACAGCAGCGUGAGAUUGAUCAUCAAAGUCGUGAGCUUCGUCUACAUCAAUCCAACAGGGUUACGGCUUUUGGUGGGGAUGGAGUGCUGCGUCUUCUACGUGAAAUUGCUUCUUCUUGGUUGUUCAACAUCUUUGGAUUCACAUUAUAACUACAAUUGCUUCUUCUUGGUUUUUUCUGUUGAUUUGCAGGAUUGGUUGUCCAGGAAUCUCUCGAGCAACUUUACAUCUUUGGAUUCACAUUAUAACUACAAUUCUCUUUUCAACACUAAUUCGGCACAUCUGGAAGAGGCAUAAUUCCUUUGUUUUCACUGAUACAGGUCCUCGAUGAACGAUGUCUGGAGUUGUUGUGUUUCUUAGAACAGCCACUUUGCAGGAUGCGUACCUUCCCCUAGCUCUCCUUUGACUCGUCCCAUGAUCCACGUCCAGUGGAAACCACCCCUCU
Molecule: long non-coding RNA, 1049 nt
Organism: Hibiscus syriacus
Lineage: Eukaryota; Viridiplantae; Streptophyta; Magnoliopsida; Malvales; Malvaceae
Exons: 5
Source: RefSeq, a predicted model, not a curated record